AGCUUCGUGGUCGAGUGGUAAGGACACUAAGGACACUUGAUCCUGAAGUCGCGAGUUCGAUCCCCGGUCGAGGAACUA
Molecule: non-coding RNA, 78 nt
Organism: Rhamnusium bicolor
Lineage: Eukaryota; Metazoa; Arthropoda; Insecta; Coleoptera; Cerambycidae
Source: the annotation of a GenBank genome assembly